Molecule: non-coding RNA, 78 nt
Organism: Potamilus streckersoni
Lineage: Eukaryota; Metazoa; Mollusca; Bivalvia; Unionida; Unionidae
Source: the annotation of a GenBank genome assembly
GGUGGCCUAGUGGUUGGAGCAUCUGCCUUGGAUGCAGAAGGUUGUUGGUUUGAGCCAUGGCGAAUCAUACCAAAGACU